Molecule: ribosomal RNA, 429 nt
Filed under: Pseudomonadota bacterium
Lineage: Bacteria; Pseudomonadati; Pseudomonadota
Description: Proteobacteria bacterium partial 16S ribosomal RNA
Rfam family: Bacterial small subunit ribosomal RNA
Source: RNAcentral
UGGGGAAUAUUGGACAAUGGGCGAAAGCCUGAUCCAGCCAUGCCGCGUGUGUGAAGAAGGUCUUCGGAUUGUAAAGCACUUUAAGUUGGGAGGAUGGGCAGUAAUCGAAUACCUUGCUGUUUUUACGUUACCGACAGAAUAAGCACCGGCUAACUCUGUGCCAGCAGCCGCGGUAAUACAGAGGGUGCAAGCGUUAAUCGGAAUUACUGGGCGUAAAGCGCGCGUAGGUGGUUCGUUAAGUUGAAUGUGAAAGCCCCGGGCUCAACCUGGGAACUGCAUCCAGAACUGGCUAGCUAGAGUAGGGCAGAGGGUGGUGGAAUUUCCUGUGUAGCAGUGAAAUGCGUAAAUAUAGGAAGGAACCCCAGUCGCGAAGGCGACCACCUGGGCUCAUUCUGACACUGCGGUGCGAAAGCGUGGGGAGCAAACAGG